UGUAGUGUGGCUGAGCGGUUAUAGCGGUAGACUGUAAAUCUAUUGUAUUUUUACAUCGUUGGUUCGAAUCCAACCACUUCCA
Molecule: transfer RNA, 82 nt
Filed under: Paramoeba pemaquidensis
Lineage: Eukaryota; Discosea; Flabellinia; Dactylopodida; Paramoebidae
Description: tRNA-Tyr
Rfam family: tRNA
About the family: Transfer RNA (tRNA) molecules are approximately 80 nucleotides in length. Their secondary structure includes four short double-helical elements and three loops (D, anti-codon, and T loops).
Source: RNAcentral